This is a long non-coding RNA of Oncorhynchus masou masou (cherry salmon), 1001 nucleotides long. RefSeq lists it as uncharacterized. The record is from RefSeq and is a predicted model, not a curated record. The transcript is spliced from 3 exons. Lineage: Eukaryota; Metazoa; Chordata; Actinopteri; Salmoniformes; Salmonidae.
ACAGGAAGUUCCACGCAGGCGCACAUCAUUCUUCACAAUAAAGGACACACCAGAAUUGUGCAGUCGAGACCACAACUUUUGUGUACGUUUCAAAUGUAUUACUACUGGCUCCGGUAUUUCCACGACACUCUCCUUCCACACUGAGUCCAAACCUACAGUCACUGGGUCCUGAUUGUGACAGUGGAGCCCAUUUUGAAUUGCAGGAUCCAGAGAGGGCAUCAGUGAAGCUGGAAGACUGCAGUCAAACACUGGAACUGAAUGCCAACAUUAAAGAUUAAGAAGUGGAGGAGAAGAUUGGGACAUCUGUUUCUCAUGUCAUAUUCAGGUCCUGAUUGGUCAACAAGCUUGUUUUUUGACACGCAAAGACCCAAACGGCGUUCCAUAGAAAUCCUGGUUGAGAAUGAAACAACUGAACAAAUGAACAAGGAAACAGCACAGCAAGUAAGUGAGGAAAUAGGUUUUGAUGAUGUUUUACUGGUAAUGGGGACAUAUGGAAAUGCCAACAAAAUAACUUUUUGGUGUGUUUGUGUAAACUUUUAUUUAACUGGGCAAGUCAUUUAAUAACAAAUUCUUAUUUACACUGAUGGCCUACCUCGGCCAAACCCGGACGACGCUGGGCCAGUUGUGCGCCGCCCAAUCAUGGCCGGAUGUGAUACAGCCAGGAUUUGAACCGGGGACUGUAGUGACGCCUCUUGCACCGAGAUGCUGUGCCUUAGACUGCUGCGUCCAUGUUUGUGUGUGUGUGUUAACUAUUUAACUACUAAAAUGCAUAAAAGGCCGCAAAAAAUGUCAAUAUCGGGUAUCGGUAGCUGUUUAUUUUGUCAAGGAAAAUAUCGGAAUGGGCAAAAAAUGUCAUAUCGGUGCAUCACUACUACUGACACUUGCAUGGUUUGACACCAGUAUUGCCAGCAUUUGUUUUAUUAACUGGGCUGUCUGGAGUGUUCAGAGAGGAGACUAAAGAAGUGAAGUGGACAAACUGCCAGUGUCUACUGUUUUGUUGU